AACGAACGCUGGCGGCAGGCCUAACACAUGCAAGUCGAGCGAGGACUUCGGUUCUAGCGGCGGACGGGUGAGUAACGCGUGGGAAUGUGCCCUUCUCUACGGAAUAGCCCUGGGAAACUGGGAGUAAUACCGUAUACGCCCUAUUGGGGAAAGAUUUAUCGGAGAAGGAUCAGCCCGCGAUGGAUUAGGUAGUUGGUGGGGUAAUGGCCUACCAAGCCGACGAUCCAUAGCUGGUUUGAGAGGAUGAUCAGCCACACUGGGACUGAGACACGGCCCAGACUCCUACGGGAGGCAGCAGUGGGGAAUCUUAGACAAUGGGGGCAACCCUGAUCUAGCCAUGCCGCGUGAGUGAUGAAGGCCUUAGGGUUGUAAAGCUCUUUCAGCUGGGAAGAUAAUGACGGUACCAGCAGAAGAAGCCCCGGCUAACUCCGUG
RNAcentral lists this ribosomal RNA (433 nucleotides) under uncultured bacterium. Its description in RNAcentral is "partial 16S ribosomal RNA". It matches the Rfam family "Bacterial small subunit ribosomal RNA", at positions 29 to 507 of the family's 1533-position model. The record is from RNAcentral.